Molecule: ribosomal RNA, 459 nt
Filed under: uncultured bacterium
Lineage: Bacteria
Description: partial 16S ribosomal RNA
Rfam family: Bacterial small subunit ribosomal RNA
Source: RNAcentral
CCUACGGGCGGCAGCAGUGAAGAAUAUUGGUCAAUGGGAGAGAUCCUGAACCAGCCAAGCCGCGUGAGGGAAGACGGCCCUAUGGGUUGUAAACCUCUUUUGUCGGAGAACAAAACCCGGGACGUGUCCCGGACUGCGUGUAUCCGAAGAAAAAGCAUCGGCUAACUCCGUGCCAGCAGCCGCGGUAAUACGGAGGAUGCGAGCGUUAUCCGGAUUUAUUGGGUUUAAAGGGUGCGUAGGCGGUCCGUUAAGUCAGCGGGAAAAUUGCGGGGCUCAACCCAGGCGAGCCGUUGAAACUGGCAGACUUGAGUUGGCGAGAAGUACGCGGAAUGCGCGGUGUAGCGGUGAAAUGCAUAGAUAUCGCGCAGAACUCCGAUUGCGAAGGCAGCGUACCGGCGCCAGACUGACGCUGAGGCACGAAAGCGUGGGGAUCGAACAGGAUUAGAUACCCCAGUAGUC